This 837-nucleotide ribosomal RNA is filed under the name Panorpodes paradoxus. Its description in RNAcentral is "partial 16S rRNA". Lineage: Eukaryota; Metazoa; Arthropoda; Insecta; Mecoptera; Panorpodidae. The record is from RNAcentral.
GAAGGUGUAUCUAGAAAGACAAAUUAGAGCUUGAAAAAUAAAGCAUUUCAUUUACAUUGAAAAGUAUAUUGUGUAAUUCAAUUUAAUUUGAUAAUAAAAAUUUAUUAAUUUUUUUUGGUUUUAAAUUUAUUUAAUAAAAUUAAUUUUAAGUAAAGUUUUUUUUUGUAUAGUAUAUAGAUCAAAUAAUUUAUAUAAUAGUUAAUUAGUAUUGUAAAAGAAUAUUGAAAUACAUGAAAAAAUUUUAAAUUAAAAGUAAAUUUUAUAUAUUGUACCUUGUGUAUCAGGGUUUAUUAAUUAAAAGUUAAAAAUUUAAUUUUUCUCGAAUUUAAGAGGGUUAAUUUAUUACUUAAUUUUUUGUUUCAUAAAAAUUUAAAAUAAUAAGUUAGAAAUGAAAUGUUAUUCGUUCUUUAAUAUAUCUAGUUUUUUAAGAAAUAAAUUAAAUUUAGAUUAUUAAUAAAUAAUUAUUUAUUUAAAUAAUGAGUUAUUAUUAAUAAUUAAUAUUUUAAGGGAUAAGCUUUAAAGUAAGUUUUAUAAUGAUUUUUUAAUUUAAAAAUUAUAGGUUUAGAAAUAGUCAUUAAUUAUAAAAAUGUUAUAAUUUAUUUUAAAUUAAAAAUAAUUUUUAUUGAUUUAAAUUUUUAUUAAAAUAAUUUUUAAAAUUAUAUAAGAAUUAAAAUAAUGAUAAAAUUAGUAUAUUUAAUUGUUUAAAAUAAAUAAAUUAAAAGGUUAAAUUAAGGAAUUUGGCAAAUAAAUACUCGCCUGUUUAACAAAAACAUGUCUUUUUGAAUAUAAUUUAAAGUCUAAUCUGCCCACUGAAAAAUUUUAAAGGGCCGCGGUAUU